RNAcentral lists this unclassified non-coding RNA (327 nucleotides) under soil metagenome. Its description in RNAcentral is "partial contains 5.8S ribosomal RNA, internal transcribed spacer 2, and large subunit ribosomal RNA". The stretch from base 1 to 120 matches the Rfam family "5.8S ribosomal RNA", at positions 35 to 154 of the family's 154-position model. The record is from RNAcentral.
GAUGAAGAACGCAGCGAAAUGCGAUAAGUAAUGUGAAUUGCAGAAUUCAGUGAAUCAUCGAAUCUUUGAACGCACAUUGCGCCCCUUGGUAUUCCGGGGGGCAUGCCUGUUCGAGCGUCAUUUCAACCCUCAAGCUCAGCUUGGUAUUGAGUCCAUGUCAGUAAUGGCAGGCUCUAAAAUCAGUGGCGGCGCCGCUGGGUCCUGAACGUAGUAAUAUCUCUCGUUACAGGUUCUCGGUGUGCUUCUGCCAAAACCCAAAUUUUCUAUGGUUGACCUCGGAUCAGGUAGGGAUACCCGCUGAACUUAAGUAUAUCAAUAAGCGGAGGA